UGUCAGAUUUGACACACAUUCAUGUUGUCGCUUGACGAACGUGUACGUAUGGCGGUGCGCUGCUGACAAACUCUCUCAACCUCCUGCUACACAAGCAUAAGAUCAACAGAGAUAUGAUCAAAUACAAGAAAAGGAUUUUAGACCAAUAAAGUUUUGAGCUAGCGGGCAUCAUGGCAGUUUUGGACAGCCUGGAGGGGCAUGGCUUCGCAGCGGCUGUGUUCUAUGGGGUGUGCUCGGCCUCCAUGGCCUUCCUCAACAAGGCAGUUAUUAGCUCGUAUGAGUUCCCCUUCCCAUUCUUCAUCAUGGCAUGUC
This is a non-coding RNA of Penaeus vannamei (Pacific white shrimp), 312 nucleotides long. The record is from RefSeq and is a predicted model, not a curated record. Lineage: Eukaryota; Metazoa; Arthropoda; Malacostraca; Decapoda; Penaeidae.